This 599-nucleotide ribosomal RNA is filed under the name Henningerozyma blattae. RNAcentral's name for it is "LSU rRNA". It matches the Rfam family "Eukaryotic large subunit ribosomal RNA", at positions 33 to 652 of the family's 3401-position model. The record is from RNAcentral. Lineage: Eukaryota; Fungi; Ascomycota; Saccharomycetes; Saccharomycetales; Saccharomycetaceae.
AUUAAGCAUAUCAAUAAGCGGAGGAAAAGAAACCAACCGGGAUUGCCUCAGUAACGGCGAGUGAAGCGGCAAAAGCUCAAAUUUGAAAUCUGGUACCUUUGGUGCCCGAGUUGUAAUUUGUAGAGGGCUACUCUGGCAAAGGUCCUUGUCUAUGUUCCUUGGAACAGGACGUCAUAGAGGGUGAGAAUCCCGUGUGACGAGGAGUCUGCGUCGUGUAGAGUGCUCUCGAAGAGUCGAGUUGUUUGGGAAUGCAGCUCAAAGUGGGUGGUAAACUCCAUCUAAAGCUAAAUAUUGGCGAGAGACCGAUAGCGAACAAGUACAGUGAUGGAAAGAUGAAAAGAACUUUGAAAAGAGAGUGAAACAGUACGUGAAAUUGUUGAAAGGGAAGGGCAUUUGAUCAGACAUGGUGUUGUGUGGCCUCGCCCCUUGUGGGUGGGGAGCCCCGCGCAGCACUGGGCCAGCAUCAGUUUUGGCGGUGGGAUAAAUCUCUGGGAACGUGGCUUCCUCGGAAGUGUUAUAGCCCAGGGGAAUACUGCCAGCCGGGACUGAGGUCUGCGCAUCUUGCAAGGAUGCUGGCAUAAUGGUUAAAUGCCGCCCGU